CGGCGUCGAGCGGCGGACGGGUGAGUAAUGCCUAGGAAAUUGCCCUGAUGUGGGGGAUAACCAUUGGAAACGAUGGCUAAUACCGCAUGAUGCCUACGGGCCAAAGAGGGGGACCUUCGGGCCUCUCGCGUCAGGAUAUGCCUAGGUGGGAUUAGCUAGUUGGUGAGGUAAGGGCUCACCAAGGCGACGAUCCCUAGCUGGUCUGAGAGGAUGAUCAGCCACACUGGAACUGAGACACGGUCCAGACUCCUACGGGAGGCAGCAGUGGGGAAUAUUGCACAAUGGGCGCAAGCCUGAUGCAGCCAUGCCGCGUGUGUGAAGAAGGCCUUCGGGUUGUAAAGCACUUUCAGUCGUGAGGAAGGUAGUGUAGUUAAUAGCUGCAUUAUUUGACGUUAGCGACAGAAGAAGCACCGGCUAACUCCGUGCCAGCAGCCGCGGUAAUACGGAGGGUGCGAGCGUUAAUCGGAAUUACUGGGCGUAAAGCGCAUGCAGGUGGUUUGUUAAGUCAGAUGUGAAAGCCCGGGGCUCAACCUCGGAAUUGCAUUUGAAACUGGCAGACUAGAGUACUGUAGAGGGGGGUAGAAUUUCAGGUGUAGCGGUGAAAUGCGUAGAGAUCUGAAGGAAUACCGGUGGCGAAGGCGGCCCCCUGGACAGAUACUGACACUCAGAUGCGAAAGCGUGGGGAGCAAACAGGAUUAGAUACCCUGGUAGUCCACGCCGUAAACGAUGUCUACUUGGAGGUUGUGGCCUUGAGCCGUGGCUUUCGGAGCUAACGCGUUAAGUAGACCGCCUGGGGAGUACGGUCGCAAGAUUAAAACUCAAAUGAAUUGACGGGGGCCCGCACAAGCGGUGGAGCAUGUGGUUUAAUUCGAUGCAACGCGAAGAACCUUACCUACUCUUGACAUCCAGAGAACUUUCCAGAGAUGGAUUGGUGCCUUCGGGAACUCUGAGACAGGUGCUGCAUGGCUGUCGUCAGCUCGUGUUGUGAAAUGUUGGGUUAAGUCCCGCAACGAGCGCAACCCUUAUCCUUGUUUGCCAGCGAGUAAUGUCGGGAACUCCAGGGAGACUGCCGGUGAUAAACCGGAGGAAGGUGGGGACGACGUCAAGUCAUCAUGGCCCUUACGAGUAGGGCUACACACGUGCUACAAUGGCGCAUACAGAGGGCAGCCAACUUGCGAAAGUGAGCGAAUCCCAAAAAGUGCGUCGUAGUCCGGAUUGGAGUCUGCAACUCGACUCCAUGAAGUCGGAAUCGCUAGUAAUCGUGGAUCAGAAUGCCACGGUGAAUACGUUCCCGGGCCUUGUACACACCGCCCGUCACACCAUGGGAGUGGGCUGCAAAAGAAGUAGGUAGUUUAACCUUCGGGGGGACGCUUACCACUUUGUGGUUCAUGACUGGGGUGAAGUCGUAACAAGGUAGCGCUAGGGGAACCUGGCGCUGGAUCACCUCCUUA
This 1451-nucleotide ribosomal RNA is filed under the name Vibrio parahaemolyticus. Its description in RNAcentral is "bacterial SSU rRNA". It matches the Rfam family "Bacterial small subunit ribosomal RNA". The record is from RNAcentral. Lineage: Bacteria; Pseudomonadati; Pseudomonadota; Gammaproteobacteria; Vibrionales; Vibrionaceae.